AGUGAACGCUGGCGGUAGGCCUAACACAUGCAAGUCGAGCGGCAGCACAGUAAGAGCUUGCUCUUACGGGUGGCGAGUGGCGGACGGGUGAGGAAUACAUCGGAAUCUACUUUUUCGUGGGGGAUAACGUAGGGAAACUUACGCUAAUACCGCAUACGACCUACGGGUGAAAGCAGGGGAUCUUCGGACCUUGCGCGAUUGAAUGAGCCGAUGUCGGAUUAGCUAGUUGGCGGGGUAAAGGCCCACCAGGGCGACGAUCCGUAGCUGGUCUGAGAGGAUGAUCAGCCACACUGGAACUGAGACACGGUCCAGACUCCUACGGGAGGCAGCAGUGGGGAAUAUUGGACAAUGGGCGCAAGCCUGAUCCAGCCAUACCGCGUGGGUGAAGAAGGCCUUCGGGUUGUAAAGCCCUUUUGUUGGGAAAGAAAAGCAGCAGGUUAAUACCCCGCUGUUCUGACGGUACCCAAAGAAUAAGCACCGGCUAACUUCGUG
RNAcentral lists this ribosomal RNA (492 nucleotides) under uncultured bacterium. RNAcentral describes it as "partial 16S ribosomal RNA". It matches the Rfam family "Bacterial small subunit ribosomal RNA", at positions 29 to 507 of the family's 1533-position model. The record is from RNAcentral.